GGGACAGGGUUAUAAGGUGGGACA
Molecule: non-coding RNA, 24 nt
Filed under: Arabidopsis thaliana (thale cress)
Lineage: Eukaryota; Viridiplantae; Streptophyta; Magnoliopsida; Brassicales; Brassicaceae
Source: RNAcentral